RNAcentral lists this ribosomal RNA (499 nucleotides) under uncultured Glomeromycotina. RNAcentral's name for it is "partial small subunit ribosomal RNA". It matches the Rfam family "Eukaryotic small subunit ribosomal RNA", at positions 591 to 1092 of the family's 1831-position model. The record is from RNAcentral. Lineage: Eukaryota; Fungi; Glomeromycota.
CCAAUAGCGUAUAUUAAAGUUGUUGCAGUUAAAAAGCUCGUAGUUGAAUUUCGGGAUCAAUUUACUGGUCGUGCUAUUGUACGUACUGGUUUUAUUGGUUUCUACCUUCUGACGAACCAUGAUGUCAUUAAUUUUGUGUUAUGGGGAAUCAGGACUGUUACUUUGAAAAAAUUAGAGUGUUUAAAGCAGGCUCACGCUUGAAUACAUUAGCAUGGAAUAACGAAAUAGGACGUUUGAUUCUAUUUUGUUGGUUUCUAGGAUCGACGUAAUGAUUAAUAGGGAUAGUUGGGGGCAUUAGUAUUCAAUUGUCAGAGGUGAAAUUCUUGGAUUUAUUGAAGACUAACUACUGCGAAAGCAUUUGCCAAGGAUGUUUUCAUUAAUCAAGAACGAAAGUUAGGGGAUCGAAGACGAUCAGAUACCGUCGUAGUCUUAACCAUAAACUAUGCCGACUAGGGAUCGGAUGAUGUUAAUUUUUUAAUGACUCAUUCGGCGCCUUACG